ACGCUGGUUUCCAGAGGGUUUGACGAGUAUUUAUUUGAAAGAGUAAGUUUACAACAACACAACAUGUGAGGGGGUUAAAAACAAAUGGGUGUUAGUAAAAUAAAAAUAAAUAAACAGAACUAAAGUGAACUUCAUGUUGACAUUGAUGGGCAUUCCAACCAGGAACAAAGUAAAAGAUAAUCAAUAUGAAAAAAACUCUUCCUGUUCACCUCUUAAAACCCAAAAACACACCGCAGUAGCACCCUAAACUAAAACUACCAAUGAGUUCCCUGUUUUCCUUUGUGAACUAUUCAAAGGUCCCUCUCUAUCUCCCCACACAUCCACCAACCACUGGAACACAUCUCCAAAGUUCUGCUGGACCAGCUCAGCUUCCCCUCAGAAGAAGUGCUGCCACCUGCCAGAUGAAGGAGCCUUUUGAGAGGAAGCUGGCAUCGUGAUUGGACUGUACUUUGGUCUGUUCCAAUCCAGCUUCAGCUCCAGAGACGGCAGGCGGGACGAGUCAACGGAGGCCUGGUGGACGAAGGCAUGCAGCUGAGUACAAUCCAGAAAACAACAGAGGAGGAGUGCAGGGCCAGAACAACCAGAGUAGCAUGACCAAAGAACUACAGACUCUUCACAACCUGCUCAAACUCUUGGUACAGGACCUCACCACACGGGUCAAGAAGGUUUCCGUCUCAUUUCUACUCUGAAGCUCACCUUCUCCUGCUCAAACUGCUGACAAAUGUUUCUGCUGCUCUAAAGUCUGCUCUCCAGAACUUCCUAAAAACUCUCAAAGUCUCUUCUGCUGCAGGUUGCUUUGUAGAACUGUUCCAGAAAACCUCACUAAACCACAUGGAGGGGCCUCAAGAUAGUCGUCCAAAUGAAACCAUACAAAAACCAAACUAGCACAACCCAAACGCUAAAGUCUCCUGCAGCCUACCAGAGAACCUCUGAGAACAGAGAAUCAGGACAGGAACUCUUACCUUCUGGACAACCAACGUUGCUUCACCAACAAGAAUACAGAAUGUGUCUGACCAAAAACCUCUACAGACUCACUACAGCCAAAAUAAAGACACAACUCAGCUGCAGCAAAUCCACUAAUCACUGCACACAUUAGCACCAUGUGCUAACUGUGGCUAAAGAACCACAUUUACCAAGACAACUAUCCAGUACAAAGCCCUAAAACACACCAAGAAACACAUUAAAGAUGAUUUUACUGCUGGAAGCUGCAAGCCAACGCCUAAAGAACAAACUAAAGCAAUGGAACCAAACCCAGUUCACUGGUGAAGAGAAGCAGAGGAAAUGUUUGUCUGCAGCUAAAUAAAGCAGGAAGACACUGAGCUGCUCAGGUGUUCCUGAUAACACCAAGCAGCCACCUGGACAGCCAAUAGGAACACAGCUUCCUGGAAGUCCAGAGGGCUGGGUUAGUGAAGGAAAUUUAGUUUAAAGUUGAAGCAGAAAGUUAAUAAAGAAAGUUGAAAACCA
Amphiprion ocellaris (clown anemonefish) is the source of this 1464-nucleotide long non-coding RNA. RefSeq lists it as uncharacterized. The record is from RefSeq and is a predicted model, not a curated record. The transcript is spliced from 2 exons. NCBI's taxonomy places the organism in Eukaryota, Metazoa, Chordata, Actinopteri, Pomacentridae.